Molecule: long non-coding RNA, 419 nt
Organism: Vicia villosa (hairy vetch)
Lineage: Eukaryota; Viridiplantae; Streptophyta; Magnoliopsida; Fabales; Fabaceae
Exons: 3
Source: RefSeq, a predicted model, not a curated record
CUUCCAUUCAGUUCUCUUCUCUGUCAUAAAACUUCUUCUCUUCUCUGCCGUAAAAUUCCUUCAAGAAACAUGAAAUCGUCUCAUUCAGUUCAGAUUCACUAAUCCCCAAUUUUCCUCUUUCGUUAAUUGUCGGUGUUGUUUCUGAUUCUGUUGCACUACUAAUCGUUCUGAGCUACAUUUGAAACGUUGAAAGAUUAGACAACACUACUAAUCGUUCUGAGCUACAUUUGUUGAGUUCAACGAGGCAGUGUUCAGCAGUGAGGUGAACAAGUUGAAGGCAAAUCAAUUUAAGUCAUUUGAGUAAGUUCUAUUUUGUUUUAAUUACGCUUCUUUGUCUUAGGGCCUGCUUAGUUUUUUAAAAUUAUUUUUAAUACUUUGAGUUCAUGUUUAUUUUAAUUAGUACAUACAAGUAUACAACA